RNAcentral lists this ribosomal RNA (502 nucleotides) under uncultured bacterium. RNAcentral's name for it is "bacterial SSU rRNA". It matches the Rfam family "Bacterial small subunit ribosomal RNA", at positions 8 to 507 of the family's 1533-position model. The record is from RNAcentral.
AGAGUUUGAUCCUGGCUCAGAUUGAACGCUGGCGGAAUGCUUUACACAUACAAGUCGAACGGCAGCACGGGGCAACCUGGUGGCGAGUGGCGAACGGGUGAGUAAUAUAUCGGAACGUGCCCAAUCGUGGGGGAUAACGUAGCGAAAGUUACGCUAAUACCGCAUACGAUCUACGGAUGAAAGCGGGGGAUCGCAAGACCUCGCGCGAAUGGAGCGGCUGAUAUCAGAUUAGGUAGUUGGUGGGGUAAAGGCUCACCAAGCCAACGAUCUGUAGCUGGUCUGAGAGGACGACCAGCCACACUGGAACUGAGACACGGUCCAGACUCCUACGGGAGGCAGCAGUGGGGAAUUUUGGACAAUGGGCGCAAGCCUGAUCCAGCCAUGCCGCGUGAGUGAAGAAGGCCUUCGGGUUGUAAAGCUCUUUCGGCCGGGAAGAAAUCGCAUGGGUUAAUACCCUGUGUGGAUGACGGUACCGGAAUAAGAAGCACCGGCUAACUACGUG